Molecule: ribosomal RNA, 251 nt
Filed under: uncultured prokaryote
Description: partial 16S ribosomal RNA
Rfam family: Bacterial small subunit ribosomal RNA
Source: RNAcentral
UACGGAGGAUGCAAGCGUUAUCCGGAUUUAUUGGGUUUAAAGGGUACGCAGGUUGUUUGAUAAGUCAGUGGUGAAAGUCUGUCGCUUAACGGUAGGAUUGCCAUUGAUACUGUUGGACUUGAAUAUGGAUGAGGUAGGCGGAAUGUGUAGUGUAGCGGUGAAAUGCAUAGAUAUUACACAGAACACCGAUUGCGAAGGCAGCUUACUAAUCCAUCAUUGACGCUGAGGCACGAAAGCGUGGGGAUCAAACA